CCCUUAGAUGUCCUGGGCCGCACGCGCGUUACACUGAUGCAUUCAACGAGCUUAUAACCUUGGCCGAGAGGCCUGGGCAAUCUUGUUAACGUGCAUCGUGAUAGGGAUAGAUUAUUGAAAUCAUUAAUCUUGAACGAGGAAUUCCUAGUAAACGCAGAUCAUCAAUCUGCAUUGAUUACGUCCCUGCCCUUUGUACACACCGCCCGUCGCACCUACCGAUUGGAUGGUCCGGUGAAGCCUCGGGAUUGUGGUUCUUGCCGCUUUAUUGUGGCGUGACCGCGAGAACUUGUCUAAACCUUAUCAUCUAGAGGAAGGUGAAGUCGUAACA
RNAcentral lists this ribosomal RNA (328 nucleotides) under uncultured eukaryote. Its description in RNAcentral is "partial 18S ribosomal RNA". It matches the Rfam family "Eukaryotic small subunit ribosomal RNA", at positions 1470 to 1796 of the family's 1831-position model. The record is from RNAcentral.